RNAcentral lists this ribosomal RNA (610 nucleotides) under uncultured cyanobacterium. RNAcentral describes it as "bacterial SSU rRNA". It matches the Rfam family "Bacterial small subunit ribosomal RNA", at positions 66 to 718 of the family's 1533-position model. Lineage: Bacteria; Bacillati; Cyanobacteriota. The record is from RNAcentral.
ACGGGACUCUUCGGAGUUCAGUGGCGGACGGGUGAGUAACGCGUGAGAAUCUGCCUAGAGGAUGGGGACAACCACGGGAAACUGUGGCUAAUACCCAAUGAGCGGAGACGUUAAAGAUUUAUCGCCUCUAGAGGAGCUCGCGUCUGAUUAGCUAGUUGGUGGGGUAAAAGCCUACCAAGGCGACGAUCAGUAGCUGGUCUGAGAGGACAACCAGCCACACUGGGACUGAGACACGGCCCAGACUCCUACGGGAGGCAGCAGUGGGGAAUUUUCCGCAAUGGGCGAAAGCCUGACGGAGCAAUACCGCGUGAGGGAGGAAGGCUCUUGGGUCGUAAACCUCUUUUCUCAGGGAAGAAGAAAGUGACGGUACCUGAGGAAUCAGCCUCGGCUAACUCCGUGCCAGCAGCCGCGGUAAUACGGAGGAGGCAAGCGUUAUCCGGAAUUAUUGGGCGUAAAGCGUCCGUAGGUGGCUCUUCAAGUCUGCUGUCAAAGAGUGGGGCUUAACUCCAGAAAGGCAGUGGAAACUGAAAGGCUAGAGAGCCGCAGGGGUAGAGGGAAUUCCCGGUGUAGCGGUGAAAUGCGUAGAGAUCGGGAAGAACAUCGGUGGCGA